AUUGAACGCUGGCGGCAUGCCUUACACAUGCAAGUCGAACGGUAACGGGCCUUCGGGUGCCGACGAGUGGCGAACGGGUGAGUAAUGUAUCGGAACGUACCUUUCAGUGGGGGAUAACGUAGCGAAAGUUACGCUAAUACCGCAUAUUCUGUGAGCAGGAAAGCAGGGGAUCGCAAGACCUUGCGCUGAUUGAGCGGCCGAUAUCAGAUUAGCUAGUUGGUGAGGUAAAGGCUCACCAAGGCGACGAUCUGUAGCGGGUCUGAGAGGAUGAUCCGCCACACUGGAACUGAGACACGGUCCAGACUCCUACGGGAGGUAGCAGUGGGGAAUUUUGGACAAUGGGGGCAACCCUGAUCCAGCCAUGCCGCGUGAGGGAGGAAGGUCUUCGGAUUGUAAACCUCUGUCGGUGGAGAAAAACGGCUUAUGUACUAACAGUGCAUAGGAGUGAUGGUAUCCACAAAGGAAGCACCGGCUAACUUCGUGCCAGCAGCCG
RNAcentral lists this ribosomal RNA (493 nucleotides) under uncultured bacterium. RNAcentral describes it as "bacterial SSU rRNA". It matches the Rfam family "Bacterial small subunit ribosomal RNA", at positions 30 to 517 of the family's 1533-position model. The record is from RNAcentral.